RNAcentral lists this ribosomal RNA (495 nucleotides) under uncultured bacterium. RNAcentral describes it as "partial 16S ribosomal RNA". It matches the Rfam family "Bacterial small subunit ribosomal RNA", at positions 28 to 507 of the family's 1533-position model. The record is from RNAcentral.
GACGAACGCUGGCGGCGUGCCUAAUACAUGCCAGUAGAACGCUGAAGGAGGAGCUUGCUUCUCUGGAUGAGUUGCGAACGGGUGAGUAACGCGUAGGUAACCUGCCUGGUAGCGGGGGAUAACUAUUGGAAACGAUAGCUAAUACCGCAUAAUAGUAGAUGUCGCAUGACAUUUGCUUAAAAGGUGCAAUUGCAUCACUACCAGAUGGACCUGCGUUGUAUUAGCUAGUUGGUGAGGUAACGGCUCACCAAGGCAACGAUACAUAGCCGACCUGAGAGGGUGGUCGGCCACACUGGGACUGAGACACGGCCCAGACUCCUACGGGAGGCAGCAGUAGGGAAUCUUCGGCAAUGGACGGAAGUCUGACCGAGCAACGCCGCGUGAGUGAAGAAGGUUUUCGGAUCGUAAAGCUCUGUUGUAAGAGAAGAACGAGUGUGAGAGUGGAAAGUUCACACUGUGACGGUAUCUUACCAGAAAGGGACGGCUAACUACGUG